This 300-nucleotide ribosomal RNA is filed under the name uncultured Pyrobaculum sp. RNAcentral's name for it is "bacterial SSU rRNA". It matches the Rfam family "Bacterial small subunit ribosomal RNA", at positions 496 to 795 of the family's 1533-position model. The record is from RNAcentral. Lineage: Archaea; Thermoproteati; Thermoproteota; Thermoprotei; Thermoproteales; Thermoproteaceae.
GACAAUUCCGGGCCGGCAGCGUGGGGAAUACGGGUGGUGCAAUCGUUAAUCGGAAUUAAUGGGCGUAAAGCGUGCGCAGGCGGCUUAGUAAGUCAGAUGUGAAAUCCCGAGGCGCAACCUAGGAACUGCAUUUGAAACUAAUAAACUAGAGUAUCGUAGAGGGAGGUAGAAUUCCAGGUGUAGCGGUGAAAUGCGUAGAUAUCUGGAGGAAUACCAGUGGCGAAGGCGACCUCCUGGACGAAAACUGACGCUCAAGCACGAAAGCAUGAGGAGCAAACAGGAUUAGAUACCCCGGUAGUC